Molecule: ribosomal RNA, 645 nt
Filed under: bacterium JL6-31
Lineage: Bacteria
Description: bacterial SSU rRNA
Rfam family: Bacterial small subunit ribosomal RNA
Source: RNAcentral
CCUACGGGAGGCAGCAGUAGGGAAUCUUCCGCAAUGGACGAAAGUCUGACGGAGCAACGCCGCGUGAGUGAUGAAGGCUUUCGGGUCGUAAAACUCUGUUGUUAGGGAAGAACAAGUACGAGAGUAACUGCUCGUACCUUGACGGUACCUAACCAGAAAGCCACGGCUAACUACGUGCCAGCAGCCGCGGUAAUACGUAGGUGGCAAGCGUUAUCCGGAAUUAUUGGGCGUAAAGCGCGCGCAGGCGGUUUCUUAAGUCUGAUGUGAAAGCCCNCGGCUCAACCGUGGAGGGUCAUUGGAAACUGGGGAACUUGAGUGCAGAAGAGAAAAGCGGAAUUCCNCGUGUAGCGGUGAAAUGCGUAGAGAUGUGGAGGAACNCCAGUGGCGAAGGCGGCUUUUUGGUCUGUAACNGACGCUGAGGCGCGAAAGCGUGGGGAGCAANCAGGAUUAGAUACCCUGGUAGUCCACGCNGUAAACGAUGAGUGCUAAGUGUUAGAGGGUUUCCGCCCUUUAGUGCUGCAGCUAACGCAUUAAGCACUCCGCCUGGGGAGUACGGUCGCAAGACUGAAACUCAAAGGAAUUGACGGGGGCCCGCACAAGCGGUGGAGCAUGUGGUUUAAUUCGAAGCAACGCGAAGAACCUUAC